CCUACGUAGAUAAAUGCAGCAUUUAAGCUAACGUUAGCUAAAACACAGGAAGCAUCACAUCCUGGGUAGAUUUAGCAGGUAACGUGAACUAACGCAAACUGUUUAUAGACUAUGUGGCAGGAUAUUGUGAGGAGAAGAAGAAGGGGAGACAAAAUAAAACAACUUCUUACACAAUUUAAAACUGAAAUCGGCUUGUUUCAUGGUCGACAAUGUGCAGCUGUGUUUAGUGUAGUUACAAUGUUUGUUGAUGACAAGAUCUCGGAUCAAUUGUUCACGUUGCUGUAUCCCAAAGACCAAACCAGAGAGAACAACCAUGAGAUGUGGCCCAGAGGGAGGUCCAGUGACUGUCCAGUGAAAGAACAUCAUCAACAGUUUGUUUUGAGGGACAUAGUGGCUGCUACCAAAGUCAAAGGCCCGGAUGCUGCGUGUCCUCCUACUGCAGCCCUCAGUGGAAGAUAGACGACAAACCACAUAUGUCCAGCCAGGGCAUCUCUCCGGCGACAAGCGUAGUUGCAAACGGGACAUUUGAAAGGCUUUUCUCCCGAAUGUAACUUGAUGUGGCGCAACAAGUUCCCCUUCUGGGUGAAGGAAGCUCCACACUGGUUACACUGGAAAGGCCUCUCACCUAUGGACACAUGGAUGCAUGGACAGAGGAUUUUAGAGCACGUUGGGUCCGAUGCAGAUCAUCCCACACACCUCACACUGGAGCUUCCCAUUGGGCAGCCGGAUAGGUCCUGGUGAAGCAGCAUUUGGACUGGCCAUCUCAUUGUAAAUGCUCCCACUGUCUCUUCCUGCCCCUGGGUACUCUGCGCUCCCUUCUUCCAUGGGGUCCCCUCUGUCUUCCCUCCCGCUAUCAUCCGUCACAGCCUCUCUGUUCUCUGGCUGUGGAGCACCUGGUGACUCAUCGUCGCUGCACAGCUCAACCUUGAUGGAGUUUGCUGUGUAGAGAGAGUUAGGGGAAAAACACAUUUACUGUCAUAAUGUCAAUGAAGAAUUAUAUACACACCAUGUGGCCACAAUUAAAAGAAAUAAUAACUGACCACUCAGGGAGCGGUGUGGUGAGGACUGCUGACUGUUUGGAGAUGUCACUGAAGGGCCCUGCAACCUGCCAUAAAAAUCCUGUUCCGUUGAUGACUCUCCUCCAUUACCUGAAACACAAAUAUGCCCAUGUUAUUAAAGUAAACAUUAAAGCCUUGAGACUGUGCACACAAAUGUAUAGUUUCUCCUUUACAUAUAAACUUACCUUGUGCAUAUGAGCGUCCAUUGCAGUCAUCAGCAUUCAUUCUCUCACCAGAU
Long non-coding RNA from Cottoperca gobio, 1296 nucleotides. RefSeq lists it as uncharacterized. The transcript has 3 exons. Lineage: Eukaryota; Metazoa; Chordata; Actinopteri; Perciformes; Bovichtidae. The record is from RefSeq and is a predicted model, not a curated record.